RNAcentral lists this ribosomal RNA (349 nucleotides) under uncultured bacterium. RNAcentral's name for it is "bacterial SSU rRNA". It matches the Rfam family "Bacterial small subunit ribosomal RNA", at positions 27 to 367 of the family's 1533-position model. The record is from RNAcentral.
GGACGAACGCUGGCGGCGUGCCUAACACAUGCAAGUCGAACGCGAUCUUCGGAGUAGUUUACUACACCGAAGUGAAAGUGGCGGACGGGUGAGUAACGCGUGGGUAACCUGGCCUAUGGAAGGGGAUAGCCUCGGGAAACCGGGAUUAAUACCGUAUGUAGUUGGAAGAUCGCAUGAUCUACCAAUGAAAGAUUUAUCGCCAUAGGAUGGACCCGCGUCCCAUUAGCUAGUUGGUGAGAUAACAGCUCACCAAGGCGACGAUGGGUAGCCGGCCUGAGAGGGCGAACGGCCACACUGGGACUGAGACACGGCCCAGACUCCUACGGGAGGCAGCAGUGGGGAAUAUUGG